GGGUUGUGAGGUUAAGCGACUAAGCGUACACGGUGGAUGCCCUGGCAGUCAGAGGCGAUGAAGGACGUGCUAAUCUGCGAUAAGCGUCGGUGAGGUGAUAUGAACCGUUAUAACCGGCGAUUUCCGAAUGGGGAAACCCAGUGUGUUUCGACACACUAUCAUUAACUGAAUCCAUAGGUUAAUGAGGCGAACCGGGGGAACUGAAACAUCUAAGUACCCCGAGGAAAAGAAAUCAACCGAGAUUCCCCCAGUAGCGGCGAGCGAACGGGGAGGAGCCCAGAGCCUGAAUCAGUGUGUGUGUUAGUGGAAGCGUCUGGAAAGGCGUGCGAUACAGGGUGACAGCCCCGUACACAAAAAUGCACAUAUUGUGAGCUCGAUGAGUAGGGCGGGACACGUGGUAUCCUGUCUGAAUAUGGGGGGACCAUCCUCCAAGGCUAAAUACUCCUGACUGACCGAUAGUGAACCAGUACCGUGAGGGAAAGGCGAAAAGAACCCCGGCGAGGGGAGUGAAAAAGAACCUGAAACCGUGUACGUACAAGCAGUGGGAGCCUCUUAAUGGGGUGACUGCGUACCUUUUGUAUAAUGGGUCAGCGACUUAUAUUCUGUAGCAAGGUUAACCGAAUAGGGGAGCCGAAGGGAAACCGAGUCUUAACUGGGCGUUAAGUUGCAGGGUAUAGACCCGAAACCCGGUGAUCUAGCCAUGGGCAGGUUGAAGGUUGGGUAACACUAACUGGAGGACCGAACCGACUAAUGUUGAAAAAUUAGCGGAUGACUUGUGGCUGGGGGUGAAAGGCCAAUCAAACCGGGAGAUAGCUGGUUCUCCCCGAAAGCUAUUUAGGUAGCGCCUCGUGAAUUCAUCUCCGGGGGUAG
This 870-nucleotide ribosomal RNA is filed under the name Escherichia coli. Its description in RNAcentral is "partial 23S ribosomal RNA". It matches the Rfam family "Bacterial large subunit ribosomal RNA", at positions 1 to 905 of the family's 2925-position model. Lineage: Bacteria; Pseudomonadati; Pseudomonadota; Gammaproteobacteria; Enterobacterales; Enterobacteriaceae. The record is from RNAcentral.